Molecule: transfer RNA, 74 nt
Filed under: Arctocephalus forsteri (New Zealand fur seal)
Lineage: Eukaryota; Metazoa; Chordata; Mammalia; Carnivora; Otariidae
Description: tRNA-Gln
Rfam family: tRNA
About the family: Transfer RNA (tRNA) molecules are approximately 80 nucleotides in length. Their secondary structure includes four short double-helical elements and three loops (D, anti-codon, and T loops).
Source: RNAcentral
UAGAAUAUGGUGUAAAUGGGUAGCACGAAGAUUUUUGAUUUCCUUAAGAUGAGGUUCGAUUCCUAUCAUUCUAG